This 255-nucleotide ribosomal RNA is filed under the name uncultured bacterium. Its description in RNAcentral is "partial 16S ribosomal RNA". It matches the Rfam family "Bacterial small subunit ribosomal RNA", at positions 524 to 776 of the family's 1533-position model. The record is from RNAcentral.
GACGUAGGGCGCAAGCGUUGUCCGGAUUUAUUGGGCGUAAAGAGCUCGUAGGCGGUGUGUCGCGUCGGCCGUGAAAACCUGGGGCUUAACUCUGGGCGUGCGGUCGAUACGGGCAUCACUGGAGUUCGGCAGGGGGAGACUGGAAUUCCUGGUGUAGCGGUGAAAUGCGCAGAUAUCAGGAGGAACACCGGUGGCGAAGGCGGGUCUCUGGGCCGAUACUGACGCUGAGGAGCGAAAGCAUGGGUAGCGAACAGG